Molecule: non-coding RNA, 147 nt
Filed under: Pan paniscus (pygmy chimpanzee)
Lineage: Eukaryota; Metazoa; Chordata; Mammalia; Primates; Hominidae
Also listed under: 1 other name
Source: Rfam by way of RNAcentral
GCUGGGUAUGGUGGUGCAUGCCUGUAAUCCCAGCUACUCGGAGGCCGAGGCGGGAGAAUCGCUUGAACCUGGGAGGCGGAGGCUGCAGUGAGCUGAGAUCGCGCCACUGCACUCCAGCCUGGAUGACAGAGGGAGACCCUGUCUCAA